RNAcentral lists this unclassified non-coding RNA (306 nucleotides) under uncultured fungus. RNAcentral's name for it is "partial contains 5.8S ribosomal RNA, internal transcribed spacer 2, and large subunit ribosomal RNA". The stretch from base 1 to 52 matches the Rfam family "5.8S ribosomal RNA", at positions 103 to 154 of the family's 154-position model. The record is from RNAcentral. Lineage: Eukaryota; Fungi.
AACGCACAUUGCGCCCGCCAGUAUUCUGGCGGGCAUGCCUGUCCGAGCGUCAUCUCAACCCUCAAGCCCUGCUUGGUGUUGGGGACCGGCCCGCUGGGAAACCCCCUCCCUUCCCCUCCACGGGGGGAGGGAGGGAACCAGAGCGGCGCCGCCCCCGAAAUGAAUUGGCGGCCUCGCAGCGGCCUCCUCCGCGCAGUAGCACACACCUCGCGGCGGGAGAGCGGCGCGGCCACUGCCGUAAAACGCCCGCACAAGGUCACCCUUCAAGUUGACCUCGGAUCAGGUAGGACUACCCGCUGAACUUAA